Molecule: small nucleolar RNA, 134 nt
Organism: Erpetoichthys calabaricus (reedfish)
Lineage: Eukaryota; Metazoa; Chordata; Cladistia; Polypteriformes; Polypteridae
Gene: U8
Rfam family: U8 small nucleolar RNA
About the family: U8 is a member of the C/D class of snoRNA which contain the C (UGAUGA) and D (CUGA) box motifs.
Source: Ensembl
UCGUCAGUGAGGUAUAUCCUUACCUGUUCUUCCAGAAAUGGAAAAACAGAAAAUGAUGAAUGGGUGCAUAUGAUUCUAUGAUUAGAAUUGCCUGGUUCUUGAGGACACAACACCCUCGAGUAACUCAUUCUGAU